Cucumis melo (muskmelon) is the source of this 1080-nucleotide long non-coding RNA. RefSeq lists it as uncharacterized. The transcript is spliced from 3 exons. NCBI's taxonomy places the organism in Eukaryota, Viridiplantae, Streptophyta, Magnoliopsida, Cucurbitales, Cucurbitaceae. The record is from RefSeq and is a predicted model, not a curated record.
CGAGCCGAGCCGCGCCUGCGCCAAGCCGAGCCGGUCCCUGUCCUCUUCCAGCCGAGCCGCCAGGACUAAUUUGGCUCCAUCCACCUAAAUUUUGGGACGUCUUGGACCAAGUAAUUGCUGCAGCGCGGGAUUUCUUCAGUAGGGGCUCGAGCACUGCAACCUCCUUCUAGGUUAGGACCUCGUCGCUUGGAAAGCGUACUGCCUCGCGGUUAGGACUCUACAAGUAAAUCUCCAGGUAAGAGAUUCUACUACUAGCUUCAUGUUUAGAAGUAUGAGACUAUGUAUGCCCCGACUUUUCAUGUUAAGAAUUAGACAGUACGUUGCCUGAGAUAAAUGUUAGUAUGAUGCAAAUGACGAUAUAGUUAUACUAUAGCCUGUUAUGUGUGGCAAAAGCUGUCAUGGCUACGACGAAUGUCGGGACGGAAAGUGUAGAGAUGAUUUAUGUGACAUGUUAUAAGUGGAUGCCAUGUGUAUGUAUACUGCAAUUAGGGUACCUGUUAGCUUAGUCUGUUAGAGUCGUACCUGCAUGGGUGUCCUCCGGGAUCACCACCUAUUGAGGACUUUGUGGUCCGACGGGACACCAGUCUAGCAUGGAUAUAGAUAUGACUCGAGUGACUCGACGGGGUCCUCGCAUCCCGACUGUCCUAGGUGUCCCCCGGGGCACCGAAGACCAGAGUUACGUUCCUACGGGAGCGCAUGAUUGCACGUGUUCGGGAAAGUGCCAGAGAUUGGGUACCAGUUAUCAGGACUCUAACAGGAAGUUAACAGGCACCUAGUGGGACUAGUAGUGGGUCCCUUACUGAGUAUUUUUAUACUCACUCUCUUCGUUUUAUGUUUUCAGGUAGAGGACGGGGCAAGGGCAAGGGCAAGCUGGCGAGCGACCCGAAGUGAGACCGUGGAGGGCCAUAGGGACUACCGCUUCCGCUUAUUCUUAUUUCAGAUUUUCGCAUUUGAAUUUGAGUACUUUUCAUCACUUACCAUCUUUUAUGUAGAUAGGGCCCGAGUAGGAUUUCAGAACGCUUUUACAUUUUUGCAUGACUACCUUGUUUAAAUUUUAUAAAUAAAAUUUCUUAAACCGUA